GAAAUGCUAGCGCCCUCGGGUCCGAAUUGUAAUUUGUAGAGGAUGCUUUUGGUGCGGUGCCUUCUGAGUUCCUUGGAACAGGACGCCUUAGAGGGUGAGAGCCCCGUACAGUUGGACACCAAGCCUUUGUAAAGCUCCUUCGACGAGUCGAGUAGUUUGGGAAUGCUGCUCUAAAUGGGAGGUAAAUUUCUUCUAAAGCUAAAUAUUGGCCAGAGACCGAUAGCGCACAAGUAGAGUGAUCGAAAGAUGAAAAGUACUUUGAAAAGAGGGUUAAAUAGCACGUGAAAUUGUUGAAAGGGAAGCGUUUAUGACCAGACCUUCGUCGGGCGGAUCAUCCGGUGUUCUUCACCGGUGCACUUCGCCCGGCUUAGGCCAGCAUCGGUUUUCGUAGGGGGAUAAAGGCCUAGGGAAUGUGGCUCCCUCCGGGGAGUGUUAUAGCCCUGGGCGUAAUACCUUUAUGGGGACCGAGGUUCGCGCUCCGGCAAGGAUGCUGGCGUAAUGGUCAUCAACGACCCGUCUUGAAACACGGACCAAGGAGUCGAACAUUUAUGCGAGUGUUUGGGUGUUAAACCCUUGCGCGUAAUGAAAGUGAACGUAGGUGAGAGCCCGUACGGGUGCAUCAUCGACCGAUCUUGAUGUUUUCGGAUGGAUUUGAGUAAGAGCAUAACUGUUCGGACCCGAAAGAUGGUGAACUAUGCGUGGAUAGGGUGAAGCCAGAGGAAACUCUGGUGGAGGCUCGCAGCGGUUCUGACGUGCAAAUCGAUCGUCAAAUCUGCACA
Molecule: ribosomal RNA, 779 nt
Filed under: Peroneutypa scoparia
Lineage: Eukaryota; Fungi; Ascomycota; Sordariomycetes; Xylariales; Diatrypaceae
Description: partial large subunit ribosomal RNA
Rfam family: Eukaryotic large subunit ribosomal RNA
Source: RNAcentral